This 253-nucleotide ribosomal RNA is filed under the name uncultured bacterium. RNAcentral's name for it is "partial 16S ribosomal RNA". It matches the Rfam family "Bacterial small subunit ribosomal RNA", at positions 524 to 776 of the family's 1533-position model. The record is from RNAcentral.
UACGUAGGUGGCAAGCGUUAUCCGGAUUUAUUGGGUGUAAAGGGCGUGUAGGCGGGAGCGCAAGUCAGAUGUGAAAACUCAGGGCUCAACCCUGAGCCUGCAUUUGAAACUGUGUUUCUUGAGUGCUGGAGAGGCAAUCGGAAUUCCGUGUGUAGCGGUGGAAUGCGUAGAUAUACGGAGGAACACCAGUGGCGAAGGCGGAUUGCUGGACAGUAACUGACGCUGAGGCGCGAAAGCGUGGGGAGCAAACAGG